This 428-nucleotide ribosomal RNA is filed under the name Chloroflexota bacterium. Its description in RNAcentral is "Chloroflexi bacterium partial 16S ribosomal RNA". It matches the Rfam family "Bacterial small subunit ribosomal RNA", at positions 355 to 775 of the family's 1533-position model. The record is from RNAcentral. Lineage: Bacteria; Bacillati; Chloroflexota.
UGGGGAAUAUUGCACAAUGGGCGCAAGCCUGAUGCAGCCAUGCCGCGUGUGUGAAGAAGGCCUUCGGGUUGUAAAGCACUUUCAGCGGGGAGGAAGGCGAUAAGGUUAAUAACCUUGUCGAUUGACGUUACCCGCAGAAGAAGCACCGGCUAACUCCGUGCCAGCAGCCGCGGUAAUACGGAGGGUGCAAGCGUUAAUCGGAAUUACUGGGCGUAAAGCGCACGCAGGCGGUCUGUCAAGUCGGAUGUGAAAUCCCCGGGCUCAACCUGGGAACUGCAUUCGAAACUGGCAGGCUAGAGUCUUGUAGAGGGGGGUAGAAUUCCAGGUGUAGCGGUGAAAUGCGUAGAGAUCUGGAGGAAUACCGGUGGCGAAGGCGGCCCCCUGGACAAAGACUGACGCUCAGGUGCGAAAGCGGGGGGAGCAAACAG